UACGGGGGGGGCAAGCGUUGUUCGGAAUUACUGGGCGUAAAGGGCUUGUAGGUGGCCAACUAAGUCAGACGUGAAAUCCCUCGGCUUAACCGGGGAACUGCGUCUGAUACUGGAUGGCUUGAGUGUGGGAGAGGGAUGCUGAAUUCCAGGUGUAGCGGUGAAAUGCGUAGAUAUCUGGAGGAACACCGGUGGCGAAGGCGGCCUUCUGGACGGAUACUGACGCUGAGACGCGAAAGCGUGGGGAGCAAACAGG
Molecule: ribosomal RNA, 253 nt
Filed under: uncultured bacterium
Lineage: Bacteria
Description: partial 16S ribosomal RNA
Rfam family: Bacterial small subunit ribosomal RNA
Source: RNAcentral